AUGGACACAGAAAGGGGAGUACUAAACACCGGGGUCUAUUGGGGGGAAAAGGGGAGGGCCAGUGGGAGGGGGAGGUGGGGAGGGAUAGCCUGGGGAGAAAUGCCAAAUGUGGGUGAAGGGGAGAAGAAAAGCAAAGCACACUGCCAUGUGUGUACCUACGCAACUGUCUUGCAUGCAGAAACAAUUAAAACCACUGAUUGUUCUGUCUGCAAACAUCAGCUACAUGCAUACUAUGUGUAAUAUUUAAAUCAAGGUAUGUAAACUAUCACCUCAAACAAUUAUCUUUUUUUUCAUUUUGGGAACAUUUAGAAUCAUCUCUUCUAGCUAUUUUGAAAUACAGAAUAAAAAAGUGGACAGAGGUUAUGAAGGGUGGCAGGUGGUGAUGAGGAAAGGUUGGUUGAUGACUGAAAACAUACAGUUAUAUAGAAGGAAUAUGUUUUAAGUGUCUAAUAACACAGGAGAGUGACUAUAGUUAAUAAUUUAAUGUUAAGCAUUUUUUUAGACAUCAGGAAUACAAUGGCAGAACAAAAUUCCUACAUCAUGGAUUUAAUUUCUGCUACUAAACUUUCUAAGCACGUUGCCACUUCUGAUCAUUAUUAUUUGGUUUUUUCCUUAACUGAAAUGCUCUUCUCUACUCUUUUAUAUCCUUAAUAUAGCAGCUUAGAUGUCAUUUCCAAAUAUCUGACUCAGAAAAAUAUAUCUGACUAUGCUUCCUAAAAAGCAAUCCCCUCCCACUAGAGUUACUCUUUAUUGCAUCAUCUCUGAGUUUACUUCAUAGCUCUUCUUACAUUUUUCAUGUUUACCCAGAAAUAAAUGGUUUAUUUUUCUUGAACUGGGGCCUUCAACUUGCUCUAUCAAAUUUCCCUAUCUGUCCCUAAUUGAUGUUCUAGGAAAUCUCUCAUAUUUUCAAUUACUUUCAGCUAUUGUAGUGUUCAGUUAAACUUAACAUCAAAACUUCUUUCUCUUGCUUUUACUAAGUGUAUCUCCUGUUCUUAGCAUUGUGCUUGGCAAAUAAUAAAGGGUUAACAAAUAGGUCUUGCACAAGUGAGUGAGUGAAUAAAUAGAUGAGUAGAUAAUUGGAUGAAUAAAUGAAUGUCUGAGUGAAUACUUAAGGAUAAGAUUCAGUAAGAUCAUAAAAUAAAUUGUUUUCAACUCAUAAGUUGUACGGACCAGGCAAAGGAAAUGUGUCAGAAUUGCUUCUUUUAAGCUGAGUCCUGAAAUAUGCUAAGUAGUUCACCAUGUCGACCUGGAGCAGAAAGCAUUCCAGUCUGAGAAAGCAGAGUAGGUAAAGGCCUAGAAAUGCGAAAGAGUAUAGCACAUGAAGAAGACUGAGAAAAGCAGACUAAAUGGAGAGGAGAAAGUCUAGUUAGUCAUAACAGCAGAUGAAUAUAGAGAAAUAGAGCAGUUCAGAGCCAGCCUCAUUAGUAAUAUCAAAAUUUGGGAUGGUAUUUACAACUUAGUCAUCAUUAACCAAGCAUGUGCUGUCUUUUCACAUUACUGGAACCCCCACUGUUCCUCUGAAAAAUUCCAUUUCAAGGUCAAAAUCAAAGCUUUCUUGUUAUCACCUCUGAAGUCUUUCUUUACCUUAACAUGUGAAGCUGAUUACAAUCUCUUCUAGGCUACUUCAGUACAGAAUCCAUGCAUGACUGAAAUCCAAUGCAUCACUUAGCGGCCAGAUUGAAGUCUUCCUGUAAUGUCUGCUUUAUUUGUGCUCCUCUAGUACUUAGCACAGUUUUAGUAGUUGACACUUUACAAAUGUUAAAGAAGUUUCUUUCCCAAUUUUCCUGAUGUUACCUUCCAAUUUUGAAAGUUUAUGCAGUACUAACUAAUGUAAAAAACGAUUCAUCAAAAGCAAAGUUAAAUACUGUCACCAGAAAGCAACAAUUUGAGAUUCUUUAAACUUGCAUUAAAAAAGAGGGAAUAUUAGUGAUUAAAAAUAUCAAAGAAACAUCCUCUGUAAUUACUGUUAAGUAGUAUUUUUUAAUGUAAGUCAGACAAAAGGGAAAUGGAGAUAAAUAAGAUAUAAACAUUUCUUCAUUAUGUUAGGUUGUAUAGUAAUGCUUUAAAUCUUGCUUAUCCCUACUUAUAUUUGAACCUUAGAUAUUUAAAGGGUUUUCCUGAGGGAGAGAUUUUCACAAACCAAACCAUCAUGCUAAACAGUUGCACAUGGUUGCAUAAUUUUGGGCUAUUUAACCUGACAUCUUUUCAACUUACUUGGGUUGAAGCCUUGCUUUAUUGUUGCUUCUGAUUUCUUUUCUUUCCUUUUAUCUUGCUUCAGAGAGUGCAGAUUAAUCCAGUUCUGUCCAGACUGAUUAAAGUUGUUAAGUUACCCACAGAGGGCUUUGCGAAAUAAAUCUGGUAAUUCAAUUCUCAAUAGACUGUAAAAAUAUGUUAUUAGUUAAUUAUCAAGAUACUUCUGAACGUUAUUAAAUUACCCCAUUUGUCUUCUGAUUAUUAUUCUGGAGUCAUGUAAAAUUAUAAAAUGUGAGCCGGGCAUGGUGGCUCAUGCUUGUAAUACCAGCAGCACUUUGGGAGGCCAAGGUGGGGAGAUCAUCUGAGGUCGGGAGUUUGAGACCAGCCUGACCAACAUGAAGAAAUUCUGUCUCUACUAAAAAUACAAAAUUAGCUGAGGGUGGUGGUGCAUGCCUGUAAUCCCAGCUACUUGGGAGGAUGAGGUGGGAGAAUCGCUUGAACCAAGGAGGUGGAGGUAGUAGUAAGCUGAGAUGAUGCCACUGCACUCCAGCCUGGGCUUUAAGAGCAAAAUUCCAUCUAAAAAAAAAUAGUGUGAAGAAUACCCUGUUAAAUACCAAAUAUCCAAUGUUUGAGUGAUUUUUUUCAACCACAAUUCAAGUUUAUACUCCCCUAAUUUCAAAAAGCUUAUUAUUGACAUUUAUCAUUAAUCUUAACUUGUUGGACACAUUUCUAAUUUGAUAUUAAAGUAGAAUAUUCGUUUGAAUCAUUAGAAUCCACUAUGGGUAUAUUACCUUUUAGUUCACCUGACCAAGGCAUCAUUUGUAAACUACUACAUGGAGAUUGGACAGCUCAUUCACUCAGCACUAAUGCACAGUGAUAGGCAGUUGUGCUCACCUUACCAGUCAAUUUGACUGUGCCUGCAUUCAUGAAGUAAAUAAAUAAUUAAUUCUUCAACAAACAAAUGCUUGGUUUCCUUGAUCAAUAUCACAUGCUUUCUUUGUGGUAUCCCUUUUUCACCUAUAAAAUAGGACUAGAAACUAUUUCAAGGGUUGUUUCCAGGACAAAAUGAGCUCUUUUGCAUUUAGAUUGUAUUUAAUGCAUAUUGGCAUAAUAUCAUAAGACCUUACAGGUAACCCCUUGGUAGGAUUCAUCAGACAGGCUUUAUCCCAGAUGUUAGCUAGAGCAGUGUGGUCCAAUAAAAUUGAGACACAAAGCUUCUAUAGUAAUUGUCAAUAUGAUGGUCUUUAGUCUCUGAUGUGCUUUUAUGCUUGGGUUCAUGGUUCAUGAUAGGAUGGUAUCCUUUAAAAUCAUGGACAUUAAUGAAGUAUUUUCUAUUUAUUGUUUGCUGACUAAAAGAAUAAGUACUUUUCUUGUCUGGUGGCCUUUAUGAAGCUAAUAUUUCUGAUAGUAACCAUUCAGUUAAAGUAAUGCUUCCAAUAAUUGCUGCUUUUAAUGUAUUUAUUUCUUAAGGAGGAAAAAAAAAGAAUCUGUUAAAUGCAUUUUUCUACAAGUAGUCAUUAGUGAAUUGCUUUUAGAGGAAUCUCUGCACUCAGCAGCUUAUAAUGCUCCUGAAAUGAUUCACAAUUCAACAUUGCAGCAACCCCAAAUAUUAGUACUUCUUUUUCCUUGGCUUGAAUAUUAUGAUCUCAGACAAGCCAUUCAAGAAAAAAAGAGAUAUUAUGAAAAUGAAAAGCAAAAGUAAUAAUAACCAUCUGUGCUGUCCAGUGAUUUCCAAUUAACAAUUAAAGAACAUGUUAAAAUAAAUUUAUCAGAAGUUACUUAUUUGCUCUCUAUUUCUAAAAGUUUGUUACACAGUUCUUUGCUCAAAUUUGGCAGAAGGCUAAAUAAUAAAUAAACAUUGUUUUAGACAACUUUAGCAUUCUUCUGAAUGGCAGGCCAAAAGCAAAUAACUGAGUAUUAAUUGUUUAAUACUUCUUGAAUGGAAAGGUAUUUUAAUGGGUUUGUUAGGAAGAGUGUAGAAUGAUUUGAGAAUGCUGUUAUAUUUAGCAGUAGAAAAUCUUAAUGGAGAAAAAAGAAAAAAACAACAAAUGAUUAGGCACCAAACUUAGGAGUUUGUUGAAAAGGCAUAUAUUUUUUUAACUAUUAACAAAUCUAAGUGGUAUUUUAUUCUGACUUGCUUACGGAUAGUUUCAUAAACUCAGAGUAUGCCUAAGUGUAAGUUAUGAGAAAAGAAGACUUUAAAUUUAAUCAGAUAGCAGAAGUUUAAGAAGAGCUUAUAUCAACUGAUCUAACCAAUAUGAAAGUAUCUUUUCAAAAUGAGAAUUGUAUAAUAAGAUUGAACUAAAAGAUUGACUAAAUGGGUUUCACACUUACAUGAAUUGUAGAAGGGAAUAACUUUUUAACGUUUUACUCCAACAAAGUAAUGAUAACACAGUUUUAAAAUAAUUAUCGUUUAGUACAACUCUUGGAAGAGUGAAUCCACAGUGUUCCAGUGAAUUAAUAAACCAGCUAUUACCAAUACAUUAUUGUCUAUGAAAACAACAUAUUUAUAACCACAAACUAUUUUCCA
This 4723-nucleotide long non-coding RNA is filed under the name Callithrix jacchus (white-tufted-ear marmoset). Its description in RNAcentral is "lncRNA (ENSCJAG00000074495.1)". Lineage: Eukaryota; Metazoa; Chordata; Mammalia; Primates; Cebidae. The record is from RNAcentral.